AAAUUUAGGUUAACCAUUUAAACCAAGGACCUUCAAAGCCCUAAAUACGAGCUAACCCCUCAUAAUUUCUG
Molecule: transfer RNA, 71 nt
Filed under: Hemiphyllodactylus sp. 7 PLW-2014
Lineage: Eukaryota; Metazoa; Chordata; Lepidosauria; Squamata; Gekkonidae
Description: tRNA-Trp
Source: RNAcentral